This 253-nucleotide ribosomal RNA is filed under the name uncultured bacterium. Its description in RNAcentral is "partial 16S ribosomal RNA". It matches the Rfam family "Bacterial small subunit ribosomal RNA", at positions 524 to 776 of the family's 1533-position model. The record is from RNAcentral.
UACGUAGGGUGCGAGCGUUAAUCGGAAUUACUGGGCGUAAAGCGUGCGCAGGCGGUUCGGAAAGAAAGAUGUGAAAUCCCAGGGCUCAACCUUGGAACUGCAUUUUUAACUGCCGAGCUAGAGUAUGUCAGAGGGGGGUAGAAUUCCACGUGUAGCAGUGAAAUGCGUAGAGAUGUGGAGGAAUACCGAUGGCGAAGGCAGCCCCCUGGGAUAACACUGACGCUCAUGCACGAAAGCGUGGGGAUCGAACAGG